This 958-nucleotide ribosomal RNA is filed under the name uncultured Bacillota bacterium. RNAcentral describes it as "bacterial SSU rRNA". It matches the Rfam family "Bacterial small subunit ribosomal RNA", at positions 1 to 917 of the family's 1533-position model. Lineage: Bacteria; Bacillati; Bacillota. The record is from RNAcentral.
UUGGAUCCAGACUUUGAUCAUGGCUCAGGACGAACGCUGGCGGCGUGCCUAAUACAUGCAAGUCGAGCGAGCUUGCCUAGAUGAUUUUAGUGCUUGCACUAAAUGAAACUAGAUACAAGCAAGCGGCGGACGGGUGAGUAACACGUGGGUAACCUGCCCAAGAGACUGGGAUAACACCUGGAAACAGAUGCUAAUACCGGAUAACAACACUAGACGCAUGUCUAGAGUUUGAAAGAUGGUUCUGCUAUCACUCUUGGAUGGACCUGCGGUGCAUUAGCUAGUUGGUAAGGUAACGGCUUACCAAGGCAAUGAUGCAUAGCCGAGUUGAGAGACUGAUCGGCCACAUUGGGACUGAGACACGGCCCAAACUCCUACGGGAGGCAGCAGUAGGGAAUCUUCCACAAUGGGCGAAAGUCUGAUGGAGCAACGCCGCGUGAGUGAAGAAGGGUUUCGGCUCGUAAAGCUCUGUUGGUAGUGAAGAAAGAUAGAGGUAGUAACUGGCCUUUAUUUGACGGUAAUUACUUAGAAAGUCACGGCUAACUACGUGCCAGCAGCCGCGGUAAUACGUAGGUGGCAAGCGUUGUCCGGAUUUAUUGGGCGUAAAGCGAGUGCAGGCGGUUCAAUAAGUCUGAUGUGAAAGCCUUCGGCUCAACCGGAGAAUUGCAUCAGAAACUGUUGAACUUGAGUGCAGAAGAGGAGAGUGGAACUCCAUGUGUAGCGGUGGAAUGCGUAGAUAUAUGGAAGAACACCAGUGGCGAAGGCGGCUCUCUGGUCUGCAACUGACGCUGAGGCUCGAAAGCAUGGGUAGCGAACAGGAUUAGAUACCCUGGUAGUCCAUGCCGUAAACGAUGAGUGCUAAGUGUUGGGAGGUUUCCGCCUCUCAGUGCUGCAGCUAACGCAUUAAGCACUCCGCCUGGGGAGUACGACCGCAAGGUUGCAACUCAAAUGAAUUGACGGA